RNAcentral lists this long non-coding RNA (793 nucleotides) under Monodelphis domestica (gray short-tailed opossum). RNAcentral's name for it is "lncRNA (ENSMODG00000049029.1)". The record is from RNAcentral. Lineage: Eukaryota; Metazoa; Chordata; Mammalia; Didelphimorphia; Didelphidae.
GACUGGAGCCUCACGCGCACCCCACCUCCGCAUUUGCUAGGUGGACCAGGUGGCAGGGGACCAAGUAAGCCCCGUGCUCCGGAGCCCCACGAAUGGACCUGGCAAGGAACAAGACCCACACGGGGCAACAAGCAAACCGUUAAGCAAAAAGCUCCUCGGUUCCGUGGCCCGCCGCCUGCCUCGCCUCACCUGGUCAAUCAAUGCCGCCGCCGCCGGGGCACCAAGAAGCUCCCAAUUCCCAUGAUAGAUCACCCUUCUGAAAAGCAGUUAUCCCAAACUCACCUCAUGCAGCAUUCUAAGGCCACUAAGACCCUAUUUCUUGCAGUUCCCGCAGCCACCAAGACCAAAUUUCCCACCAGUCUCCAUGCAGAUGAAAACACACUGCAGGUACCUGAAAUCAGCUUCACUUUUCCUAGUGCCAUCUGGCACAGGACAGAAUUGAAGACCAAGCCUCCCCAAAGAAGUCAAAGGGUCUGGUGAAUGUACCCCACAUUCUGGGGCAUAGCAUCUUGCCAGAGUGUCAGCCGGUGAGGAAGAAGAGGCCAAAGCACUUCUUGUUCUAGAAAGCUGAGUUGGAUUCGGUUGAUUACCUGAUCCCCAUAGUUCUUUCUCCUAUAUUUUUAUUUAAUGUAGUAGACAGACUGUUGGGCUUGGAAUCAAGAAAACCUGUGUUCCAAUCUUGCCUCCAAAAUUACUAGCCCUGUGACCCUGGGCAAGUCUCUUAACCUCAUUUAUAUCUUUGCUUCCUUCUAUGUAAAAUAAAUGAGUUGGGCAUGAUGAUAUCUAAGGCCCU